RNAcentral lists this ribosomal RNA (450 nucleotides) under uncultured bacterium. RNAcentral's name for it is "bacterial SSU rRNA". It matches the Rfam family "Bacterial small subunit ribosomal RNA", at positions 29 to 524 of the family's 1533-position model. The record is from RNAcentral.
AACGAACGCUGGCGGCAUGCCUAACACAUGCAAGUCGAACGAAGCCUUCGGGCUUAGUGGCGCACGGGUGCGUAACGCGUGGGAAUCUGCCCCUCGGUUCGGAAUAACAGUUAGAAAUGACUGCUAAUACCGGAUGAUGACGAAAGUCCAAAGAUUUAUCGCCGAGGGAUGAGCCCGCGUAGGAUUAGCUUGUUGGUGGGGUAAUGGCCCACCAAGGCGACGAUCCUUAGCUGGUCUGAGAGGAUGAUCAGCCACACUGGGACUGAGACACGGCCCAGACUCCUACGGGAGGCAGCAGUGGGGAAUAUUGGACAAUGGGCGAAAGCCUGAUCCAGCAAUGCCGCGUGAGUGAUGAAGGCCUUAGGGUUGUAAAGCUCUUUUACCAGGGAUGAUAAUGACAGUACCUGGAGAAUAAGCUCCGGCUAACUCCGUGCCAGCAGCCGCGGUAAU